This 336-nucleotide ribosomal RNA is filed under the name Triticum aestivum (bread wheat). Its description in RNAcentral is "partial small subunit ribosomal RNA". The record is from RNAcentral. Lineage: Eukaryota; Viridiplantae; Streptophyta; Magnoliopsida; Poales; Poaceae.
AUGGGUCCUACUAAGGCGCCUGGUCCAGAUGGUUUCUCUGCUUUAUUUUAUCAAACACACUGGGCGUUCCUGGAGGAGGAUAUUUGUCAGACCGUGCGAAGUUUUUUGGAGGGACGGCUAAUUCUGGAGGGAUUUUGUGAUUUUGUGAUCGUGCUUAUCCCUAAAGUUCUGAGGCCAAAACAAUUGAAGAAUUUUCGCCCUAUUAGCCUCUGCAACGUCCUCUAUAAAAUUGCUUCCAAGGUUUUGGCUAACGACCUUAAAUUAAUUUUACCUGUGGUGAUUUCUGAUUAUCAGAGUGCUUUUGUCCCGGGCAGACUUAUCACGGUAAUACCUUAA